AGAGUUUGAUCAUGGCUCAGAACGAACGUUGGCGGCGUGGAUUAGGCAUGCAAGUCGUGCGAGAAAGGGGCUUCGGCCCUGAGUAAAGCGGCGAACGGGUGAGUAUCGCGUGGGAAACCUGCCUUCAAGUGGGGGAUAACACUCCUAACGGGGUGCUAAUACCGCAUGACACCCUUGGGUCGCAUGGCCCGAGUGUCAAAGGUGGCCUCUACUUGUAAGCUACCGCUUGAAGAUGGUCCCGNGUCCGAUUAGCUAGUUGGCGGGUAACGGCUCACCAAGGCGACGAUCGGUAGCUGGUCUGAGAGGAUGGUCAGCCACACUGGGACUGAGAUACGGCCCAGACUCCUACGGGGGGCAGCAGUCUAGAGGCUUCGGCAAUGGGGGCAACCCUGACCGAGCGACGCCGCGUGCGGGAUGAAGGCGUUUUCGUCGUAAACCGCUGUGUAAGGGGAAGAAUGCCGGAAUGGUGAAUUCCGGAGGGACGGUACUCUUACAGAAAGCCCCGGCUAACUCCGUGCCAGCAGCCGCGGUAAUA
This 535-nucleotide ribosomal RNA is filed under the name bacterium enrichment culture clone Cont336_3131. RNAcentral describes it as "bacterial SSU rRNA". It matches the Rfam family "Bacterial small subunit ribosomal RNA", at positions 8 to 525 of the family's 1533-position model. The record is from RNAcentral.